This is a non-coding RNA of Caenorhabditis elegans, 21 nucleotides long. Lineage: Eukaryota; Metazoa; Nematoda; Chromadorea; Rhabditida; Rhabditidae. The record is from Ensembl.
UUCGUGGAUUUUCUAUUAGGU